AGCUCUCCGAGUGGUGUGGAUGUUUAUUGGGCCUAAAGCAUCCGUAGCUGGCUAAGUUAGUCCCUUGUUAAAUCCACCGAAUUAAUCGUUGGAUUGCGGGGGAUACUGCUUGGCUAGGGGACGAGAGAGGCAGACGGUAUUUUUGGGGUAGGGGUGAAAUCCUAUAAUCCCAGGAAGACCACCAGUGGCGAAGGCUGUCUGCUAGAACGCGCCCGACGGUGAGGGAUGAAAGCUGGGGGAGCGAACC
Molecule: ribosomal RNA, 247 nt
Filed under: uncultured crenarchaeote
Lineage: Archaea; Thermoproteati; Thermoproteota
Description: partial 16S ribosomal RNA
Rfam family: Archaeal small subunit ribosomal RNA
Source: RNAcentral